GUGCAGCAGGCGCGAAACCUCCGCAAUACACGAAAGUGUGACGGGGUUACCCAAAGUGUCCAAAUUUGGACUGUGGUAGGUGAGUAAUGUCCCCUACUAGAAAGGAGAGGGCAAGGCUGGUGCCAGCCGCCGCGGUAAAACCAGCUCUUCAAGUGGUCGGGAUAAUUAUUGGGCUUAAAGUGUCCGUAGCCGGUUUAGUAAGUUCCUGGUAAAAUCGGGUAGCUUAACUAUCUGUAUGCUAGGAAUACUGCUAUACUAGAGGGCGGGAGAGGUCUGAGGUACUACAGGGGUAGGGGUGAAAUCCUGUAAUCCUUGUAGGACCACCAGUGGCGAAGGCGUCAGACUGGAACGCGCCUGACGGUGAGGGACGAAAGCCAGGGGAGCGAACCGGAUUAGAUA
Molecule: ribosomal RNA, 399 nt
Filed under: uncultured microorganism
Description: bacterial SSU rRNA
Rfam family: Archaeal small subunit ribosomal RNA
Source: RNAcentral